UAAGGAAUAUUGGUCAAUGGACGCAAGUCUGAACCAGCCAUGCCGCGUGAAGGAUGAAGGCCCUCUGGGUUGUAAACUUCUUUUAUCUGGGACGAAACCCAUCCAUUAUUGGGUGAUUGACGGUACCAGAGGAAUAAGCACCGGCUAACUCCGUGCCAGCAGCCGCGGUAAUACGGAGGGUGCAAGCGUUAUCCGGAUUCACUGGGUUUAAAGGGUGCGUAGGUGGGUCUGUAAGUCAGUGGUGAAAUCUCCAGGCUUAACCUGGAAACUGCCAUUGAUACUAUAGGUCUUGAAUUUUCUGGAGGAUAGCGGAAUAUGUCAUGUAGCGGUGAAAUGCUUAGAUAUGACAUAGAACACCAAUUGCGAAGGCAGCUAUCUACAGGGAUAUUGACACUGAGGCACGAAAGCGUGGGGAUCAAACAG
Molecule: ribosomal RNA, 423 nt
Filed under: uncultured bacterium
Lineage: Bacteria
Description: bacterial SSU rRNA
Rfam family: Bacterial small subunit ribosomal RNA
Source: RNAcentral